Long non-coding RNA from Empidonax traillii (willow flycatcher), 384 nucleotides. RefSeq lists it as uncharacterized. The record is from RefSeq and is a predicted model, not a curated record. Lineage: Eukaryota; Metazoa; Chordata; Aves; Passeriformes; Tyrannidae. The transcript has 3 exons.
GGCUGCAGCGCUUCGCGACUAACGGGGGACACCACCAGGGCAAAAGCAGCGCCGCGUUGUGUCUGCAGAAUACGGGGCAUGUAAUUUUUCUUUGGAAAACCGCUGCUUGCUUGGAGGACAAAACAAUAAACUUCCUUUUUCCCGCUUUUUUAGGUUGUCGAUUACAUGUUUGGAGAAGGACCCGAGCCCAGGAAAGUGGGAGUUGCCCUGAGAGGCUCGUCCGUGUGAUUCAGGAUGAUUGAGGAGAGUGGGAAGAGGAGGAGGACCAUGGCAGAGAAGAGGCAGCUGUUCAUGGAAAUGAGAGCCCAGAACUUUGAUGUCAUCAGGCUCUCCACGUACCGCACGGCCUGCAAGCUGCGCUUCGUGCAGAAACGCUGUAACCGU